ACGGAAGGCAGCAGUGGGGAAUAUUGCACAAUGGGGGAAACCCUGAUGCAGCGACGCCGCGUGAGUGAAGAAGUAUUUCGGUAUGUAAAGCUCUAUCAGCAGGGAAGAAAAUGACGGUACCUGACUAAGAAGCCCCGGCUAACUACGUGCCAGCAGCCGCGGUAAUACGUAGGGGGCAAGCGUUAUCCGGAUUUACUGGGUGUAAAGGGCGUGUAGGCGGGACAUCAAGUCAGAUGUGAAAGCACGAGGCUCAACUUCGUGUCUGCAUUUGAAACUGACGUUCUUGAGUGUUGGAGAGGCUAACGGAACUCCUAGUGUAGCGGUGAAAUGCGUAGAUAUUAGGAGGAACACCAGUGGCGAAGGCGGCUUACUGGACUGUAACUGACGUUGAGGCUCGAAGGCGUGGGGAGCAAACAGGAUUAGAUACCCUGGUA
This 434-nucleotide ribosomal RNA is filed under the name uncultured Clostridium sp. Its description in RNAcentral is "partial 16S ribosomal RNA". It matches the Rfam family "Bacterial small subunit ribosomal RNA", at positions 341 to 792 of the family's 1533-position model. Lineage: Bacteria; Bacillati; Bacillota; Clostridia; Eubacteriales; Clostridiaceae. The record is from RNAcentral.